AAUGCACAUUUUAGACAUCAAGAUGAUUCUCUAUACGACCAUAUCGCUGAUUAUCUUUACUGGAAACACUUUUGCAGAAACAACGCCAGGAAAGGACUGCGCAUCUGCUGUUACAUUUUAUGGUGAAACAGCUAAUAAAGUCGUUGGGUUACUCUCUGACAACUGUGCAUUCAAAACA
This is a long non-coding RNA of Mytilus californianus (California mussel), 178 nucleotides long. RefSeq lists it as uncharacterized. The record is from RefSeq and is a predicted model, not a curated record. NCBI's taxonomy places the organism in Eukaryota, Metazoa, Mollusca, Bivalvia, Mytilida, Mytilidae. The transcript is spliced from 2 exons.